GUGGAAUUUUCUUCCAAACCGUCUUUUAGUCUACAUUUAAGGAUGUUUAGGAUGGUAUAUUCUUCCGAACCAACUUCUCAGGUCUACAUUUCAGGUGGAAUAUUCCUUUUAACCAGCCCCUCAGGUCUCUUUGAGGAUUUUGGAUGGAAUACUCGGUUAAACCAACAUUUUAGGUGCAUGUCCAAGGAUUUUUGGUGGAAUGUUCCUUUAAGGUGGAUGUUUGAGGACCUUGUAGGUGGAAUACUUCCUGAAACCAACCUUUUAGGUCAACAUUCAAAGAUUUAAGGCGGAAUAUUCCUUUAAACCAACCUAAAUUUCAUGUUUUGAUCAUUAUCAAGUGAGAAACCUCAAUCCAGACUCCUCGUAAUGACGUUUGAGAUUUAUGCUGCUGUUAUUUGUUUAGUCCAGACUAAAUGACAGAAAUCCACAACUGUAAUUUUAUUUCAGGACUCGGUUAUUUAAUGUCAAAA
Long non-coding RNA from Amphiprion ocellaris (clown anemonefish), 470 nucleotides. The record is from Ensembl. NCBI's taxonomy places the organism in Eukaryota, Metazoa, Chordata, Actinopteri, Pomacentridae.